RNAcentral lists this ribosomal RNA (1233 nucleotides) under uncultured Halomonas sp. Its description in RNAcentral is "bacterial SSU rRNA". It matches the Rfam family "Bacterial small subunit ribosomal RNA", at positions 150 to 1384 of the family's 1533-position model. The record is from RNAcentral. Lineage: Bacteria; Pseudomonadati; Pseudomonadota; Gammaproteobacteria; Oceanospirillales; Halomonadaceae.
GGGGAAACCCAGGCUAAUACCGCAUACGUCCUACGGGAGAAAGGGGGCUCCGGCUCCCGCUAUUGGAUGAGCCUAUGUCGGAUUAGCUAGUUGGUGAGGUAAUGGCUCACCAAGGCAACGAUCCGUAGCUGGUCUGAGAGGAUGAUCAGCCACAUCGGGACUGAGACACGGCCCGAACUCCUACGGGAGGCAGCAGUGGGGAAUAUUGGACAAUGGGGGAAACCCUGAUCCAGCCAUGCCGCGUGUGUGAAGAAGGCCCUCGGGUUGUAAAGCACUUUCAGCGAGGAAGAACGCCUAACGGUUAAUACCCGCUAGGAAAGACAUCACUCGCAGAAGAAGCACCGGCUAACUCCGUGCCAGCAGCCGCGGUAAUACGGAGGGUGCAAGCGUUAAUCGGAAUUACUGGGCGUAAAGCGCGCGUAGGUGGAUUGAUAAGCCGGUUGUGAAAGCCCCGGGCUCAACCUGGGAACGGCAUCCGGAACUGUCAAGCUAGAGUGCAGGAGAGGAAGGUAGAAUUCCCGGUGUAGCGGUGAAAUGCGUAGAGAUCGGGAGGAAUACCAGUGGCGAAGGCGGCCUUCUGGACAGACACUGACACUGAGGUGCGAAAGCGUGGGUAGCAAACAGGAUUAGAUACCCUGGUAGUCCACGCCGUAAACGAUGUCGACCAGCCGUUGGGUGCCUAGCGCACUUUGUGGCGAAGUUAACGCGAUAAGUCGACCGCCUGGGGAGUACGGCCGCAAGGUUAAAACUCAAAUGAAUUGACGGGGGCCCGCACAAGCGGCGGAGCAUGUGGUUUAAUUCGAUGCAACGCGAAGAACCUUACCUACUCUUGACAUCCUGCGAAUUUGGUAGAGAUACCUUAGUGCCUUCGGGAACGCAGAGACAGGUGCUGCAUGGCUGUCGUCAGCUCGUGUUGUGAAAUGUUGGGUUAAGUCCCGUAACGAGCGCAACCCUUGUCCUUAUUUGCCAGCGCGUAAUGGCGGGAACUCUAAGGAGACUGCCGGUGACAAACCGGAGGAAGGUGGGGACGACGUCAAGUCAUCAUGGCCCUUACGAGUAGGGCUACACACGUGCUACAAUGGUCGGUACAAAGGGUUGCCAACUCGCGAGAGUGAGCUAAUCCCGAAAAGCCGAUCUCAGUCCGGAUCGGAGUCUGCAACUCGACUCCGUGAAGUCGGAAUCGCUAGUAAUCGUGGAUCAGAAUGCCACGGUGAAUACGUUCCCGGGCCUUGU